CCCCUCUCAGGAUGGCACCCGGAGAGUUUCCAGUCUUCUACCAGUCUCAGCUACGGGAGGGAGAGUAAAGCAGAGGCCUGUCCAUUCCAUUCCUAGCUCGGGCAGUAGCUAGAGAGUGGAAGACGAUCUGCUACAAGU
RNAcentral lists this small nucleolar RNA (138 nucleotides) under Ornithorhynchus anatinus (platypus). The record is from RNAcentral. Lineage: Eukaryota; Metazoa; Chordata; Mammalia; Monotremata; Ornithorhynchidae.